AGCAGCCGCGGUAAUUCCAGCUCCAAUAGCGUAUAUUAAAGUUGUUGCAGUUAAAAAGCUCGUAGUUGAAUUUCGGGGUUAGUAGGUUGGUCAUGCCUCUGGUAUGUACUGGUCUCACUGAUUCCUCCUUCCUGAUGAACCUUAAUGCCAUUUAUUUGGUGUUUUGGGGAAUUUGGACUGUUACUUUGAAAAAAUUAGAGUGUUUAAAGCAAGCUAACGCUUGAAUACAUUAGCAUGGAAUAAUGAAAUAGGACGUUCGAUCCUAUUUUGUUGGUUUCUAGGAUUGACGUAAUGAUUAAUAGGGAUAGUUGGGGGCAUUAGUAUUCAAUUGUCAGAGGUGAAAUUCUUGGAUUUAUUGAAGACUAACUACUGCGAAAGCAUUUGCCAAGGAUGUUUUCAUUAAUCAAGAACGAAAGUUAGGGGAUCGAAGACGAUCAGAUACCGUCGUAGUCUUAAUCAUAAACUAUGCCGACUAGGGAUCGGAUGAUGUUAAUUUUUUCAAUGACUCAUUCGGCGCCUU
Molecule: unclassified non-coding RNA, 520 nt
Filed under: uncultured Glomus
Lineage: Eukaryota; Fungi; Glomeromycota; Glomeromycetes; Glomerales; Glomeraceae
Description: SSU rRNA
Rfam family: Eukaryotic small subunit ribosomal RNA
Source: RNAcentral